Molecule: non-coding RNA, 145 nt
Organism: Gossypium raimondii (Peruvian cotton)
Lineage: Eukaryota; Viridiplantae; Streptophyta; Magnoliopsida; Malvales; Malvaceae
Source: Rfam
UAUUAAAAUUUUUAUUUAUUUGUAUCAUUAAAAAUUGACGUGCUUGAUAGAAUAAUUAAAUAGUGAUAAAUGAUAUGCCAUGUGUACUUUAUGUUGACAUACGAGGGCCAAUUUUUACUAGUGAAAAUAGAUGAAAUUUUUAACA